CGGAGCUACACACUCUUUACUCACGCACGCACACCGCCGUACACAGCACAAUCGUUCACCGUCCCGCCAAAGGCUCGUCUCUCGGGUUCUGCCUAGUGGAAGGAGUCGGACAACGCCGCACGUCACGGGCGUUUCGGAUUUCUUGCUUCCCAAAGGUUUGACGGCGGCCACCGGCGCCCCGGCCCAGCUCUGCUUUCCUUUGCUGACUCCUUCCUUUAGCUGUCUACCACCACUGCUGCGCUUGUGGAUGACUGCAGGAACACCGGGUACUUGCCACAAGUAUCUCUCCAGAUUCAUCAGCCUUUCACCUGUGACAAGCUCAGUCAAGAAGUGGCUCCUAAGUAAAAGCUGGGGAAGAACAAGGAAGAUAGAGCUCAGAGUAGAAAGCUGUGAAGUUCUGCACAACAGGUCCCCUUGGCCUGCUCUAACAGUUGGAAGACAGGCAUGGUAGCUCAUGUGGAAGCUUCCCGAGGCCCUCACCCAGAAGCAGAUGCUGGAGCCAUGCUUGUACAGCUUGCAGAACUGUA
This 527-nucleotide long non-coding RNA is filed under the name Homo sapiens (human). Its description in RNAcentral is "non-protein coding FAM160A1-DT:24". The record is from RNAcentral. Lineage: Eukaryota; Metazoa; Chordata; Mammalia; Primates; Hominidae.